GAUGAAGAACGUAGCGAAAUGCGAUAAGUAAUGUGAAUUGCAGAAUUCAGUGAAUCAUCGAAUCUUUGAACGCACAUUGCGCCCUCUGGUAUUCCGGGGGGCAUGCCUGUUCGAGCGUCAUUAUAACCACUCAAGCUCUCGCUUGGUAUUGGGGUUCGCGGUUCCGCGGCCCCUAGAAUCAGUGGCGGUGCCUGUCGGCUCUACGCGUAGUAAUACUCCUCGCGAUUGAGUCCGGUAGGUCUACUUGCCAGCAACCCCCAAUUUUUACAGGUUGACCUCGGAUCAGGUAGGGAUACCCGCUGAACUUAAGCAUAUCAAUAAGCGGAGGA
Molecule: unclassified non-coding RNA, 329 nt
Filed under: soil metagenome
Description: partial contains 5.8S ribosomal RNA, internal transcribed spacer 2, and large subunit ribosomal RNA
Rfam family: 5.8S ribosomal RNA (bases 1-120)
Source: RNAcentral